This 1914-nucleotide ribosomal RNA is filed under the name Staphylococcus sp. FR179. RNAcentral's name for it is "partial 23S ribosomal RNA". It matches the Rfam family "Bacterial large subunit ribosomal RNA", at positions 1 to 1913 of the family's 2925-position model. The record is from RNAcentral. Lineage: Bacteria; Bacillati; Bacillota; Bacilli; Caryophanales; Staphylococcaceae.
GAUUAAGUUAUUAAGGGCGCACGGUGGAUGCCUUGGCACUAGAAGCCGAUGAAGGACGUUACUAACGACGAUAUGCUUUGGGGAGCUGUAAGUAAGCUUUGAUCCAGAGAUUUCCGAAUGGGGAAACCCAGCAUGAGUUAUGUCAUGUUAUCGAUAUGUGAAUACAUAGCAUAUCAGAAGGCACACCCGGAGAACUGAAACAUCUUAGUACCCGGAGGAAGAGAAAGAAAAUUCGAUUCCCUUAGUAGCGGCGAGCGAAACGGGAAGAGCCCAAACCAACAAGCUUGCUUGUUGGGGUUGUAGGACACUCUAUACGGAGUUACAAAGGACGACAUUAGACGAAUCAUCUGGAAAGAUGAAUCAAAGAAGGUAAUAAUCCUGUAGUCGAAAAUGUUGUCUCUCUUGAGUGGAUCCUGAGUACGACGGAGCACGUGAAAUUCCGUCGGAAUCUGGGAGGACCAUCUCCUAAGGCUAAAUACUCUCUAGUGACCGAUAGUGAACCAGUACCGUGAGGGAAAGGUGAAAAGCACCCCGGAAGGGGAGUGAAAUAGAACCUGAAACCGUGUGCUUACAAGUAGUCAGAGCCCGUUAAUGGGUGAUGGCGUGCCUUUUGUAGAAUGAACCGGCGAGUUACGAUUUGAUGCAAGGUUAAGCAGUAAAUGUGGAGCCGUAGCGAAAGCGAGUCUGAAUAGGGCGUUUAGUAUUUGGUCGUAGACCCGAAACCAGGUGAUCUACCCUUGGUCAGGUUGAAGUUCAGGUAACACUGAAUGGAGGACCGAACCGACUUACGUUGAAAAGUGAGCGGAUGAACUGAGGGUAGCGGAGAAAUUCCAAUCGAACCUGGAGAUAGCUGGUUCUCUCCGAAAUAGCUUUAGGGCUAGCCUCAAGUGAUGAUUAUUGGAGGUAGAGCACUGUUUGGACGAGGGGCCCCUCUCGGGUUACCGAAUUCAGACAAACUCCGAAUGCCAAUUAAUUUAACUUGGGAGUCAGAACAUGGGUGAUAAGGUCCGUGUUCGAAAGGGAAACAGCCCAGACCACCAGCUAAGGUCCCAAAAUAUAUGUUAAGUGGAAAAGGAUGUGGCGUUGCCCAGACAACUAGGAUGUUGGCUUAGAAGCAGCCAUCAUUUAAAGAGUGCGUAAUAGCUCACUAGUCGAGUGACACUGCGCCGAAAAUGUACCGGGGCUAAACAUAUUACCGAAGCUGUGGAUUGUCCUUUGGACAAUGGUAGGAGAGCGUUCUAAGGGCGUUGAAGCAUGAUCGUAAGGACAUGUGGAGCGCUUAGAAGUGAGAAUGCCGGUGUGAGUAGCGAAAGACGGGUGAGAAUCCCGUCCACCGAUUGACUAAGGUUUCCAGAGGAAGGCUCGUCCGCUCUGGGUUAGUCGGGUCCUAAGCUGAGGCCGACAGGCGUAGGCGAUGGAUAACAGGUUGAUAUUCCUGUACCACCUAUAAUCGUUUUAAUCGAUGGGGGGACGCAGUAGGAUAGGCGAAGCGUGCGAUUGGAUUGCACGUCUAAGCAGUAAGGCUGAGUAUUAGGCAAAUCCGGUACUCGUUAAGGCUGAGCUGUGAUGGGGAGAAGACAUUGUGUCUUCGAGUCGUUGAUUUCACACUGCCGAGAAAAGCCUCUAGAUAGAAAAUAGGUGCCCGUACCGCAAACCGACACAGGUAGUCAAGAUGAGAAUUCUAAGGUGAGCGAGCGAACUCUCGUUAAGGAACUCGGCAAAAUGACCCCGUAACUUCGGGAGAAGGGGUGCUCUUUAGGGUUAACGCCCAGAAGAGCCGCAGUGAAUAGGCCCAAGCGACUGUUUAUCAAAAACACAGGUCUCUGCUAAACCGUAAGGUGAUGUAUAGGGGCUGACGCCUGCCCGGUGCUGGAAGGUUAAGAGGAGUGGUUAGCUUCUGCGAAGCUACGAAUC